UACGAAGGGGGCUAGCGUUGCUCGGAUUGACUGGGCGUAAAGGGCGCGUAGGCGGUUCGUACAGUCAGACGUGAAAUUCCUGGGCUCAACCUGGGGGCUGCGUUUGAUACGUGCGGACUUGAGUGCGGAAGAGGGCCGUGGAAUUCCCAGUGUAGAGGUGAAAUUCGUAGAUAUUGGGAAGAACACCGGUGGCGAAGGCGGCGACCUGGUCCGAUACUGACGCUGAGGUGCGAAAGCGUGGGGAGCAAACAGG
This 253-nucleotide ribosomal RNA is filed under the name uncultured bacterium. Its description in RNAcentral is "partial 16S ribosomal RNA". It matches the Rfam family "Bacterial small subunit ribosomal RNA", at positions 524 to 776 of the family's 1533-position model. The record is from RNAcentral.